This 369-nucleotide long non-coding RNA is filed under the name Sus scrofa (pig). RNAcentral describes it as "lncRNA (ENSSSCG00070008654.1)". Lineage: Eukaryota; Metazoa; Chordata; Mammalia; Artiodactyla; Suidae. The record is from RNAcentral.
AUGUUAGACUUGCAGAUCUUUCAAAUAAUCCUGGUGGGGAGUUUGGCUUCUGGGAUUCUGGUCAUGAAUGCAGUGUCCCCCUGUGGUGGUUUUUGGGGCAUGGGCUGUACCCAUGGCUGGGUUUUUCUCUCCAGAUAUCUGCACAACUUCAUCUUCCCUCUGCACCUGGCCGAGUUGCUUCAGCCUCUACAAGACACAUAUUUGAAGGAAGUUCUCUCAAUCCUGGUAAGGAAAGUGAGUGAAAGGACAUCUACAUCCUCCUCCUUCCCACUCCACCUGAGCCACCUACGCCUCUUCAGGGGGCCCCAAGGGACCUACCUUAAUCCAGAUCAAGUACCUGGUUUGAGUCUUGGGUGCGCAGUUUUCUAG